This 311-nucleotide ribosomal RNA is filed under the name Clostridioides difficile. Its description in RNAcentral is "partial 23S ribosomal RNA". It matches the Rfam family "Bacterial large subunit ribosomal RNA", at positions 2612 to 2925 of the family's 2925-position model. The record is from RNAcentral. Lineage: Bacteria; Bacillati; Bacillota; Clostridia; Peptostreptococcales; Peptostreptococcaceae.
CAGAACGUCGUGAGACAGUUCGGUCCCUAUCCGUCGCAGGCGUAGGAAAUUUGAGAAGACCUGUCCUUAGUACGGGAGGACCGGGAUGGACGUACCUCUGGUGUACCAGUUGUCCUGCCAAGGGCAUGGCUGGGUAGCUAUGUACGGAAUGGAUAAGCGCUGAAAGCAUCUAAGCGCGAAGCCAACUUCAAGAUAAGAUUUCCCACCGCAAGGGUAAGACCCCAGAAAGACUAUCUGGUUGAUAGGUCGAAGGUGUAAGUGCAGCAAUGUAUUUAGCUUAUCGAUACUAAUAGGUCGAGGACUUGACCAAU